Long non-coding RNA from Pyrus x bretschneideri (Chinese white pear), 1272 nucleotides. RefSeq lists it as uncharacterized. Lineage: Eukaryota; Viridiplantae; Streptophyta; Magnoliopsida; Rosales; Rosaceae. The transcript has 3 exons. The record is from RefSeq and is a predicted model, not a curated record.
GUUUGGAGAUUGCAAAUUUGCAUGAACACUUUUUCUUGAUUACUUCAUUAAUUUCUGCGAUUUGCAAUUUGCCAUAUGGGUUUUUCUGGAUUCCAUUUCUUUUAUUUAUGUGAUUUUAGUCAGUGGUAGUCAGCUGCAUGCAAUGAGAGACAUUUGAGGCUUUAGCUAGGAAUUUGGUUUCUCUUAAAAGUACUUCUGCAAUUGGUCAGAAUUUAUUGGAGUUACUAAAAUUACCCAAUUACCAGUUUCUGUUUUACUGUAGUUGGUAAUGAUUUGUGAGCAGAUUGUACAUUGAAAAUAUGGGUAAUGUGUGAAUUGAAUUUCGAUGGCUAAACUAAUACGACAAACUGGUAAAAAUCCAUCACUGAAAAAAGAUAAAGCAUCACAACCGUAGAGUUUUGCCGAAUGAAGAAUUAAAACCGCGACGUGGGAUUCAAUCACCCUCCACGUUCUGCAAACUACCACCCAGAUUGACAAAGACUCUUCCUCUACAGAGAAGAGGGGAGGGAGAAACAAAGAUACAGAUUGACAAAGACUCUUCCUUUACAUCGACUGAUUCUUAUUGCAUGUAACUUUCAAACUUGAUUCUCAAUGUUCUAUGUAUUCCUUCCAGCAUUUGUUCAAACUUUCAAACUUGACUCUACUCGCCAUGAUCAACAAUUGCAGCUUCUUAAAACAGCCUUUCACUCACCAUAAACGACAAGUGCAGCUUCUUUAGCAAGGAAUUUUGGAAUUUAGUUUUGUGCGGACAAAGUGUGGGCUUCGAGAGCAAGCCAAAACUAUCUAGCGAUUCAAUAGAAUUGGAGAAAGAUUUUCUAGGGUGAACCAUAGCCUGUACUCGACUAUUGAGCCAUAUAGUUUCUGGUUUCUUAAGGUUUUGGAUAUCCACACAAUCUAUUAGGACCUGUCUGGAAAUCCCCACGGACAUGAGGAGGAACUUCACCAAGUAUUCAAAGUAAUCAAAGAUUCUUCAAUCCCGAGUUUUACCUAUCAUUCUGUUUGAUUAGGUUGCUACUUCACCCUUUAUGAUAAGUUAUUAGAUGCAUUUUAGUGUGUCCUACAUUUGAUAACUGAGUUAUUUCGUUAUUGCUAGAAAGGUAAAUUUUACGCUAGAUUGCUAUGCAAGGUAUGUAACUAGAUAGUUUGAUGAGUCUGAAUUAUUUUUUUUAUUAGGGCUGUUGCUACUUUUUUAAUUACGCUUGACAAUUAGACUGCUUGAUCGGAUAUGUAAUUAUCAGAGAAAUUACAAAUCAAUAGUAUGAUCGUUGUGAA